UACAGAGGGUGCAAGCGUUAAUCGGAGUUACUGGGCGUAAAGGGCGCGUAGGCGGUUAUAUAAGUGAGAUGUGAAAUCCCUGGGCUUAACCUAGGAACUGCAUCUCAUACUGUGUAACUGGAGUAUUGUAGAGGGUAGUGGAAUUUCCGGUGUAGCGGUGAAAUGCGUAGAGAUCGGAAGGAACACCAGUGGCGAAGGCGGCUACCUGGACAAAUACUGACGCUGAGGCGCGAGAGCGUGGGGAGCAAACAGG
This 253-nucleotide ribosomal RNA is filed under the name uncultured Gammaproteobacteria bacterium. RNAcentral's name for it is "partial 16S ribosomal RNA". It matches the Rfam family "Bacterial small subunit ribosomal RNA", at positions 524 to 776 of the family's 1533-position model. The record is from RNAcentral. Lineage: Bacteria; Pseudomonadati; Pseudomonadota; Gammaproteobacteria.